This 173-nucleotide ribosomal RNA is filed under the name uncultured Actinomycetes bacterium. RNAcentral describes it as "uncultured actinobacterium partial 16S ribosomal RNA". It matches the Rfam family "Bacterial small subunit ribosomal RNA", at positions 340 to 525 of the family's 1533-position model. Lineage: Bacteria; Bacillati; Actinomycetota; Actinomycetes. The record is from RNAcentral.
UACGGGAGGCAGCAGUGGGGAAUAUUGGGCAAUGGAGGAAACUCUGACCCAGCGACGCCGCGUGCGGGAUGAAGGCCUUCGGGUUGUAAACCGCUUUCAGCAGGGAAGAAGCGAAAGUGACGGUACCUGCAGAAGAAGCACCGGCUAACUAUGUGCCAGCAGCCGCGGUAAUA